Molecule: non-coding RNA, 106 nt
Organism: Polyplosphaeria fusca
Lineage: Eukaryota; Fungi; Ascomycota; Dothideomycetes; Pleosporales; Tetraplosphaeriaceae
Source: the annotation of a GenBank genome assembly
AGUCCUGUGGCGCAGUGGUAGCGCGCCGUUCUUAUAUGGCUCGUCAGAUUCAUAUGACCUCAUUCUGGUAAUGCGGAUGCCGCGGGUUCGAGUCCCGCCAGGACUA